AGUAAACCACUAUCUUUUCAAGUAUUUAUACUUAAUCUAGACAUUUUAUCCACAGAUUAGGUACCUAUUAAAUAAAAGUACCUAUUCAAAGUACAAUAAAUUGCAUAGUAGUUAGAUUUUAUUUUUCUGAGUUACCUACACCAUGUGGUUUAGCAAAAAUGAUUUUCAAAACUCGGGUUUAAACUUGCGAUCUUUAGAAUGAUAACAGGUAUCUUC
This is a non-coding RNA of Cinara cedri, 216 nucleotides long. NCBI's taxonomy places the organism in Eukaryota, Metazoa, Arthropoda, Insecta, Hemiptera, Aphididae. The record is from the annotation of a GenBank genome assembly.